GACUUCCUUCCUCUUUUGGCAACAUGGCGGGCGGAGAAGCUGGAGUGACUCUAGGGCAGCCGCAUCUUUCGCGUCAGGAUCUCACCACCUUGGAUGUUACCAAGUUGACGCCACUUUCACACGAAGUUAUCAGCAGGCAAGCCACAAUUAACAUAGCUGGUAAUGAAUCUUGCCCUCAGCCUCAGACAUCUGAACACCUGGCUGCUAUAGAGAUCAUGAAACUGAAGCAUAUUUUGAUUCUACAAAAUAAAAUUGAUUUGGUAAAAGAAAGUCAGGCUAAAGAACAAUACGAGCAGAUCCUUGCAUUUGUCCAAGGUAAGAAGCCAUAAUAUGUAAUAAAUCUAUGAAUCACUUUGAGAGGCAUUUA
This 367-nucleotide small RNA is filed under the name Pongo abelii (Sumatran orangutan). RNAcentral describes it as "processed transcript". Lineage: Eukaryota; Metazoa; Chordata; Mammalia; Primates; Hominidae. The record is from RNAcentral.